Molecule: unclassified non-coding RNA, 207 nt
Filed under: uncultured Hypoxylon
Lineage: Eukaryota; Fungi; Ascomycota; Sordariomycetes; Xylariales; Xylariaceae
Description: sequence contains ITS1
Source: RNAcentral
CUGAGUUAUCAAAACUCCCAACCCUUUGUGAACCUUACCACUGUUGCCUCGGCGUCAGCUGCGGCUACCCUGGAGUGCUACCAUGGCACCCACCUACCUGGUAGGUGCUACCCGGUAGUCACCCUGUAGUCCGCGUAUAGCGCGCCGGUGGACCAAUAAAUUCUGUUUUUACCUGAGAAUCUCUGAAUGCUUCAACUAAAUUAGUUA